RNAcentral lists this ribosomal RNA (253 nucleotides) under uncultured bacterium. RNAcentral's name for it is "partial 16S ribosomal RNA". It matches the Rfam family "Bacterial small subunit ribosomal RNA", at positions 524 to 776 of the family's 1533-position model. The record is from RNAcentral.
UACGUAGGGGGCGAGCGUUGUCCGGAAUCAUUGGGCGUAAAGCGCGUGUAGGCGGCCCGGUAAGUCCGCUGUGAAAGUCCAGGGCUCAACCCUGGGAUGCCGGUGGAUACUGUCGGGCUCGAGUCCGGAAGAGGCGAGUGGAAUUCCUGGUGUAGCGGUGAAAUGCGCAGAUACCAGGAGGAACACCAAUGGCGAAGGCAGCUCGCUGGGACGUGACUGACGCUGAGACGCAAAAGCGUGGGGAGCAAACAGG